UCUUUAUCACCGAGUGCUUGCACUCACCGAUAAAGAGUUGAGUGGCGAACGGGUGAGUAACACGUGGGCAACCUGCCCAAAAGAGGGGGAUAACACUUGGAAACAGGUGCUAAUACCGCAUAACCAUAGUUACCGCAUGGUAACUAUGUAAAAGGUGGCUAUGCUACCGCUUUUGGAUGGGCCCGCGGCGCAUUAGCUAGUUGGUGGGGUAAAGGCUUACCAAGGCAAUGAUGCGUAGCCGAACUGAGAGGUUGAUCGGCCACAUUGGGACUGAGACACGGCCCAAACUCCUACGGGAGGCAGCAGUAGGGAAUCUUCCACAAUGGGCGAAAGCCUGAUGGAGCAACGCCGCGUGGGUGAAGAAGGUCUUCGGACCGUAAAACCCUGUUGUUAGAGAAGAAAGUGCGUGAGAGUAACUGUUCACGUUUCGACGGUAUCUAACCAGAAAGCCACGGCUAACUACGUGCCAGCAGCCGCGGCAAUACGUUGGUGGCAAGCGUUAUCCGGAUUUAUUGGGCGUAAAGGGAACGCAGGCGGUCUUUUAAGUCUGAUGUGAAAGCCUUCGGCUUAACCGGAGUAGUGCAUUGGAAACUGGGAGACUUGAGUGCAGAAGAGGAGAGUGGAACUCCAUGUGUAGCGGUGAAAUGCGUAGAUAUAUGGAAGAACACCAGUGGCGAAAGCGGCUCUCUGGUCUGUAACUGACGCUGAGGUUCGAAAGCGUGGGUAGCAAACAGGGUUAGAUACCCUGGUAGUCCACGCCGU
This 762-nucleotide ribosomal RNA is filed under the name uncultured bacterium. Its description in RNAcentral is "bacterial SSU rRNA". It matches the Rfam family "Bacterial small subunit ribosomal RNA", at positions 72 to 803 of the family's 1533-position model. The record is from RNAcentral.